UACGUAGGGGCCAAGCGUUGUCCGGAUUUAUUGGGCCUAAAGCAUCCGUAGCCGGUUCUGCAAGUCCCCCGUUAAAUCCAGCUGCUCAACAGAUGGGCCGCGGAGGAUACUACAGAGCUAGGAGGCAGGAGAGGCAAGCGGUACUCAGUGGGUAGGGGUAAAAUCCGUUGAUCCAUUGAAGACCACCAGUGGCGAAGGCGGCUUGCCAGAAUGCGCUCGACGGUGAGGGAUGAAAGCUGGGGGAGCAAACCGG
Molecule: ribosomal RNA, 253 nt
Filed under: uncultured bacterium
Lineage: Bacteria
Description: partial 16S ribosomal RNA
Rfam family: Bacterial small subunit ribosomal RNA
Source: RNAcentral